GGGCGGCUCCUGGUAGGGCACCUCGACGUCGGCGGCGGGCACGACCUCCCCGCCGGACUUGAGCAUCCUGAGCCUGUCGGCGGCGAGCGCGAGGGUGAGCUUGUGGCACCGGCGCUGGUAGCGGAAGCCGUUGAGGCAGCGGAGGUGGUGCGCGACGGCGGCGUAGAAGGCGAGGUGCGCGAGGGAGAGCAGCCCCGCGGGCGCCCAGAGGUGGCGGCACUGGAGGCGCGCGGGCGGCGAGCCGGCGACGGCGGAGAGGACGAGCGCCAGGAAGAGGAAGAAUGCGAGGAAGAGGCGCCAGAGCUCCUGCUUCUGCGCGUCGG
This 323-nucleotide long non-coding RNA is filed under the name Setaria italica (foxtail millet). RNAcentral's name for it is "long non-coding RNA (SITA_LNC001752)". Lineage: Eukaryota; Viridiplantae; Streptophyta; Magnoliopsida; Poales; Poaceae. The record is from RNAcentral.